UACGAAGGGGGCUAGCGUUGCUCGGAAUUACUGGGCGUAAAGGGCGCGUAGGCGGACAGUUUAGUCAGAGGUGAAAGCCCAGGGCUCAACCUUGGAAUUGCCUUUGAUACUGACUGUCUUGAGUACGGGAGAGGUGUGUGGAACUCCGAGUGUAGAGGUGAAAUUCGUAGAUAUUCGGAAGAACACCAGUGGCGAAGGCGACCCACUGGCCCGUUACUGACGCUGAGGCUCGAAAGCGUGGGGAGCAAACAGG
Molecule: ribosomal RNA, 253 nt
Filed under: uncultured bacterium
Lineage: Bacteria
Description: partial 16S ribosomal RNA
Rfam family: Bacterial small subunit ribosomal RNA
Source: RNAcentral